GUGGGGAAUAUUGGACAAUGGGCGAAAGCCUGAUCCAGCCAUGCCGCGUGUGUGAAGAAGGUCUUCGGAUUGUAAAGCACUUUAAGUUGGGAGGAAGGGCAGUAAGUUAAUACCUUGCUGUUUUGACGUUACCGACAGAAUAAGCACCGGCUAACUUCGUGCCAGCAGCCGCGGUAAUACGAAGGGUGCAAGCGUUCAUCGGAAUUACUGGGCGUAAAGCGCGCGUAGGUGGUUUUGUAAGUUGGAGGUGAAAUCCCCGGGCUCAACCUGGGAACUGCCUCCAAAAGUGCAUGACUAGAGUACGGUAGAGGGUAGUGGAAUUUCCUGUGUAGCGGUGAAAUGCGUAGAUAUAGGAAGGAACACCAGUGGCGAAGGCGACUACCUGGACUGAUACUGACACUGAGGUGCGAAAGCGUGGGGAGCAAACAGGAUUAGAAACCCCAGUAGUCC
Molecule: ribosomal RNA, 450 nt
Filed under: uncultured bacterium
Lineage: Bacteria
Description: bacterial SSU rRNA
Rfam family: Bacterial small subunit ribosomal RNA
Source: RNAcentral